UUUGACUACUGUGUUGUGCAUGUUUCCUUCCCCCUGACCACAUGUGAAAGGAAAAUCGAAUACAGAGCCCAGAGACAUGGCGGGCAAGGACAAAGACAAAGACGUAGACAUUGAUAGAAAGUCCCAUUUAUUUAGGGUAGGCUUACAGGUUUAAGAGAGCAGCCGACGAUGAAGGGUUCAAUGUCGCAUGGUACGUAUAUAGCCACAAUCCUCAAGCCACCCUAUUCUUACAGGACCGCCUCCACCAAACGAAAAUUCAAGGCCUUGUUCCAGUACCAUAACUUGGUUUCCGAUAAUGAUGAGAAUGGGCUAUUGACCAAGUAAGUCAAUGCUUCUGUCAUAAGGCCUCUGCCUCGGCCUCCUCCUCCUCCUCCAUGCAUUGGUCAUCAGUUUGAACCACACAACGUUGUUGACGCCUUCGAUCGUGAUGCUUGGUGGAAAGCAGCUAUCGCUAAAGUUCAAUCUUUGGAGGACAAGAGUAACUCCAAGAGGAAACAGAUGAACCAAAAAGG
RNAcentral lists this unclassified non-coding RNA (512 nucleotides) under Hevea brasiliensis (rubber tree). Lineage: Eukaryota; Viridiplantae; Streptophyta; Magnoliopsida; Malpighiales; Euphorbiaceae. The record is from RNAcentral.